Molecule: long non-coding RNA, 1740 nt
Organism: Gambusia affinis (western mosquitofish)
Lineage: Eukaryota; Metazoa; Chordata; Actinopteri; Cyprinodontiformes; Poeciliidae
Exons: 4
Source: RefSeq, a predicted model, not a curated record
UCUGUCUAUCAAGCCUUCAUUCGAUUCUGGUGUGUUAGAGGUGGGAUGUGUCUGAAAGUGGUGUAACUGAGAGUCUUGAGGACUGAAGUUGCAGACCUCUGCUAUAAGUACUUAUCUGUAGAGGUUUUUGUAGUUUUCUGCGAAUACUGUUUUAACCUCACUGUGAUGACUGUCAUUUCAGACUACAAGCUAAGGCAGCUGCUUAGACGAGCCAGUGAUUGCUGAUUGUUUGGAUGAGGUCUGAGGAUUCAGGAUUAACAAAGUCCUGUGGUCCCCUGAGCCAGGCUCCUUCUGGUGAAGAGACACACUCUUUACAUCAGAAAAGAUGUCAGAUGACUGGGCUUUGUCUCCUCCAUCUAAGACCCUGCAAUAGUGUUUCAUCUGUGGUCGCUGGAGGGACAGGUGACUAUAACAAAUUGCUAUUGGGCUAGAAGAGGGAUACACCCUGGACAAGUCAUCAUUCCAUCACAGAGGUAGUACAUACCUGAGCAAGUUUAGAGUAACCUGGAGAACCUUGUGAGAACCAUACAUGCACAAGGCAAGCAUGCAAACUCCAUUCAGAAAGAAAGAAGUCAAAAUGUUGACUAAAGCUCCAUUGUGCAGCCCUUAACAGAAUUUUAUUGUUUAUAUAUAAUAAUAAAGCCAUGUAAAACUAAAGUCAUAAUGAAUUGAUUUUUAUUGUAACUUUUAUAUCCAUUUGUAGCAUGAUCUUUUGAGGCCAAAUACGUAACAAAUGCUAAGAAAAAGAAGCACAGACUAACAGUGAUUAUCUUAAAGAAAAUAUUACUGGUCUAUUCAAUCCGGUUUAUGCAGGAGUAAUCAACCAGUGUGUCAGAAGCAUAAAGGUCAAACUGAAAAAAAGGCAUAUAUUGUAAACCAUUAGCAAACAAACUGACAAAUAUUCAGACCGAACAGUCUUGAAGACGUAAAAUAUCCGAUUCAGUAAUAUGUUGUUGCAGCAUAAUGAAUUGUGGUUUUUAUUUUCAGCAUGGGAAGUCUGACUGCUGCAAUACUUGUUUAUUUCCGCAUGAGCUUGGAAUUUGUCACAACAUUUCCCAUUCUUAAUCUCACAGAUCCCAGUGACUACACUUAAGUCUUCAUCUCCACUACACAUACUGUGCUGUCUUGUUGUUUGUAUAGCAGUCACGGCCCUUCAAGCCUCAGUGUUUUGCAUUCAGGCUAGAGGGUCCAGUUAAGCCUGGGAAUUUGAAUAAAUCAUAAGAAAAUACAAUGAAUUGUGAAUCUCUCUGUGACUUAUAACAUUCUAUUGCUAUAUAAACAGGCUGGAUUUUGUAAAUUUUAUUGUUAGAAUGCUAGACUUUCUCCACACUCUGUGUUAUUGUAUGUAUAAUUCUUUAUAUUUCUAUAUAUGAAAGUAUUCAUGUGUGGAUGAUUUUGAUUUAAAUCUCUCACUGGGAAUACAUUUACAAAGCGAUAGUGCCAAAAGUGUCUUGACUGGAAGGACUUCCUUUUAUCACUAUAACUUUGAACGAUGUGUCAUUUUGCAUUCUAGUAAAUUAUAUACUUCUAGAUCUGCUUAAUCAUUAUUUGACUCAUUCCAGUUUCUUUCCAUGCUUAUGUUAUUCAGACAUUUUAUCUUGAUUUUAUUUGACAUUUCAGUCAUGUCCCUAUGCUCUCAGCACCUCUCAUGCUUCUUUUGUUCCUCUAUAACCAAGAUUCUUGAUUUAGUGUAUGUACAUUUGUAAAAUCUCUUUUCAUUAAACUGCACUACUUACUUUU